AAUAUUUGAUAUUAAAAAUUUAAUACUUCUUAAAAGGAACAAUUCAAACUUUAAUUGAAUGGAAGUUUUAAGGCAAAAACAGGUCUGUGAUGCCCUUCGAUGUUCUGGGCUGCACGCGCGUUACACUGAUAUGUUCAAUGAGUUUUUAAAUUUCCUAGUCUGAAAAGACGUGGUAAACUUAGAAAAACAUAUCGUGAUUGGAAUAGUAUUUUGUAAUUAUCGCACUUGAACGAGGAAUUCCUAGUAGGGGCAAUUCAUCAAAUUGCCCCGAUUACGUCCCCGCCCUUUGUACACACCGCCCGUCGCUUCUACCGAUUGAAUAAUGCGAUGAGGAAUUCAGGAUCGAUUAGAAUUAAUUGUUUGAAAGGAUAAUUAAGACUAGUUGCUAAUUUAUUCAAAUCUUAUUAUUUAGAGGAAGGAGA
Molecule: ribosomal RNA, 422 nt
Filed under: uncultured eukaryote
Lineage: Eukaryota
Description: bacterial SSU rRNA
Rfam family: Eukaryotic small subunit ribosomal RNA
Source: RNAcentral